Molecule: long non-coding RNA, 2590 nt
Organism: Gallus gallus (chicken)
Lineage: Eukaryota; Metazoa; Chordata; Aves; Galliformes; Phasianidae
Source: Ensembl
GCAAAUAUAUCAAGUUUAUUAAGAAAGGCAAAACGGAUCCUUUUUAUGCUAUUAGUACUAUUGGCUUGUAAUCUCUUGAUGCAGUUUAGACAUCACAGAGUUUCCGAUUUAGUAUUCUGCCCAGAGGAUGAUAUAAAAGCCACUAUUGAUUUCUAUUCCCUGUAAGCAGGCUUCAUCUCUAUGUAAAUUAAAGAUUCUACAAUGUAUUUCACAUUAAAGAUUAGUUGUCAUUCCAGCGUCGAUCUAUUCUUACACCAGCAGGGUGACAUACUGGCAAGUUCCAGACAAUGAAAGGAGUGCUGCACUUAAAUGAUGCUUCAAAAACCAUCAAUUGCCUUCAUCAUUUCAGGGGAAAAAUUAUCCCUUUUUUUUUUUUUCCACUGGAAAGGGACAGCAGAAGAUGCCAACAUCUUCCAUCUACCAACUAUUCAAAUCCUUCCAAGUAUCCGGAGAAGUUCUAGAAGUGAGAGAGGAAAAAAAGAAGCCAUAUAAAUGUGCUAGGACCCUUCACACAGUACUAAUCCGACACCUCAGCUGGCUUCUCCCUUAACCACAUUCUUUAGCAGUAGGGAACAUGGGCACUGCAAGAGAGCUCUAACUGUACCUCAGUGAGGGUGCUAGGGGCUCUUCCCUUGGAGAUCAGGAACCAUUUGCUUUCUCAUAGUGAUGGUGAAGGCAGUGACAGGAUCCACAGCUGACCAGUCACUGUACUGCAGGAGGGGCGCCUUAGAUCCAUCUCAGAGGCCACUGUCACAAGCUGGAGAGCAACCUUAGCAGUGACACCAAACACUGGAUGCAGCCCUGAGCAGUUCUGGCAUGACCCUCACAACUGAAGUCCCUUCCAACCUGGGGUCCUAUCCUAUCCUAUCCUGGGACCCUAUGAAAGAGGAGCACUUUGCCUCUCCAGUCCUUUUCUAAUAGGCAGACACACAGCUCUCCCCUCCCCCUUGAUUACUAGCCUUUUCAAGCCAAAUAGUGCCCUCAGGUUAUUGCUCAUUAGGCUGCUGAGGUAGGAAAUUCCAGGGGACCUCCUCUAGCAGGGGGAUGGACUAGGUGGUCCCCAGAGGUCCCUUCCAACCCCUACAAUUCUGUGAAAUCUCAGAGCAUACCAAAUUCAUUGCACUUCUCCCAGGCAAGGCUAGAGAGAAAAUGCCAGGGUUUUCUGGUUUGGGUAUAUUCCCCUCAGCUACAGCCAUUGAAAGCCCACUGUGCCAAUGUAGUAUACACAGCUAAUUCUUUUAGUGAUUUUUUUUUGCUGCGUAACAGAAGAAGAGCAGCACACACACUGCCAGCCACGCACGAUCUCCCCUGCAGAGAGAGGAAAUUCCACCAUUUUUAACUCAGUCAUUACAUUUACAGCACCACAGACCAAGCAUAAAUGCUCAUCUUCCCCAGAGCUCAAGCAUGUAUCAGAAGGAAAUGCUUACAACUCAUCAACCCAAAGCUUCUGCAGUCAACACCCAGCUUCCAUGGAGGCCUUCUCUACAUGUGUGUGCAGUCAUAGAACCAUAGAACACCCCGAGUUGGAAGGGCCCCACAACGUAACUGACUCCUGGCUUCCCAGAGGGACACUGCAUGGUAUCACCCAGUUACUGGCAGAGCAACAGUUAACGUCAUCUGCAGAGGACCAUUCCCAGCAUCUUUAUCCCCUUAGAGCUAUCAAAUCAGCACAGCAGAGCUCACAUUAGAGCUUGUGCCAGUAGCUGAGUUUCUCUUUGCUUCAGAACUUCCGCAGCCAAGGAAGGUUUCCUCACUGGGAUGAGGUUAGAGGUAUGUGGGUUUUGUGAGACAAUCAACAGUUUUAAAGACAUCCAAAUCUCACCAGGUGAUGUAGAAAUGCUUACUCUGUGGUUGCACAGUAGAACUAAAUGAUGGCGUUAAGAGUUUGGGGAACAGCGAAAUGCCUGAAUCUCCGUAUCUUCAUCUCUCUUGUGGGUUAUCAUACAGAUUCAUCUUAAUUAGAAUAAACUCUCAUGAUUGCCUCUUUUGUCCGCUGGAGGUCAGUAUCCUACAGAAAUACAGUUCCUCUUACCUGGUGUAAGGGUUUGCAGAGGAUAACAAUCUCGUAGCAGCAUCCGAUUUUUCUGUCACAGGAUUUUAAGGCUUCUAAUACAAGGAGAUGAAGACAGAAGCCUGGUCUGGGUCCUGCACUGUCAAGGGAAGAUCUCCCUUCUCAAUCAACCUGGCAUUUUCCUAAUGUCGUAUGAAGAACUCAACAAACUGCAGACUUACUCUUUUCCGAGGUGCACACCUGGCCUUGUAUUUUAAACAAACACCGAAGCAUAACUGCUCAGUGAUAGAUUGUUUUGCUACCUUGUUAAUCCUACUUGGCUCAUUUUGUAGGAUUAGCUCCAGAGCUGCCAGCAGUUUGGGUGCAUCAAAGAGGUGGCUUUUUGCCUCUCCACAGCUUAGCGACAUGUAAUGCUGAAGAAUCACAAUAGUAGAUGAAAGUGAGUCUGUCCUGGAAACAUAAAUGGAUGCGCAAGCAGCUGUUCCGCAGUGCAGUGUCACAGCCACCUUUCAGGCACUGUCCAUGUCAGCAUUUUAGCUUGGAUCACAAACACUUCUGAGAAAAUCUGCUCAUUCUCAC